GACGAACGCUGGCGGCGUGCUUAACACAUGCAAGUCGAACGGAAAGGUCCUGCUUUUGUGGGGUGCUCGAGUGGCGAACGGGUGAGUAACACGUGAGUAACCUGUCCUUGACUUUGGGAUAACCUCAGGCAACUUGGGCUAAUACCGGAUAGGAGCUCCUGCUGCUUGGUGGGGGUUGGUCAGUUUCGGCGGUUGGGGAUGGACGCGCGGCUUAUCAGCUUGUUGGUGGGGUAGUGGCUGAGCAAGGCUUUGAACGGUAGCCGGCCUGGGAGGGGGACCGGCCACGCUAGAACUGGAAUGCGGCACAGACUCCAACGGGAGGGAACGGUGGAGAAGGGUACAUUGCGGGAGGGAGGCAAGUGUAGCAACGCCGCGUGGGGGAAAAGGGGAAGCGGGUAGGAUACCGCUAUUGUCUGAGACGAGACGUUAGUGACGGUAAUGGGUAAAGAAGCACCGGCUAACUACGUG
Molecule: ribosomal RNA, 468 nt
Filed under: uncultured bacterium
Lineage: Bacteria
Description: partial 16S ribosomal RNA
Rfam family: Bacterial small subunit ribosomal RNA
Source: RNAcentral